RNAcentral lists this ribosomal RNA (498 nucleotides) under uncultured bacterium. RNAcentral describes it as "partial 16S ribosomal RNA". It matches the Rfam family "Bacterial small subunit ribosomal RNA", at positions 28 to 507 of the family's 1533-position model. The record is from RNAcentral.
GACGAACGCUGGCGGCGUGCCUAACACAUGCAAGUCGAACGGAGAUUAUUUCGGUAAUCUUGGUGCACAACGGGCGGGGAAUUCCUGAGCAACGUGUAACCCAGAUGGAAACAACAUGGUGACGGGGGUGCACUUACGGAAAGUGAAACCAAUCUCGCAUAAGGAUGAUGUGUAAGAGGGCCUCUAUUUAUAAGCUAUCUUUAGUGGAUGCGACUGCGUCUGAUUAGCUAGUUGGUGGGGUAACGGCCUACCGAGGCGAUGAUCAGUAGCCGGUCUGAGAGGAUGAACGGCCACACUGGGACUGAGACACGGCCCAGACUCCUACGGGAGGCAGCAGUAGGGAAUCUUCCGCAAUGGGCGAAAGUCUGACGGAGCAACGCCGCGUGAGUGAUGAAGGAUUUCGUUCCGUAAAGCUCUGUUGUUUAUGACGAAUGUGCAGAAGGUGGACAAGGACACGUAAUGACGGUAGUAAACGAAUAAGCCACGGCUAACUACGUG